GAUGAAGAACGUAGCGAAAUGCGAUAAGUAAUGCGAAUUGCAGAAUUUCCGUGAGUCAUCGAAUCUUUGAACGCACAUUGCACCCACUGGUAUUCCGGUGGACAUGCCUGUUCGAGCGUCAUUAUCCUCCCUCAAACCCCGGGUUUGGUGUUGGACCGAAGUUGUGUGAACAACUGGUCUAAAAAACAAUGACGGCGUCCGUGGGACCCUCGGUGCAACGAGCUUUUAGGAGCACGCGCCGAGUUGCAAGGACCUUCCGGGCCGGUCUCCUUUUACUAUUUUACAAGGUUGACCUCGGAUCAGGUAGGAAUACCCGCUGAACUUAAGCAUAUCAAUAAGCGGAGGA
This 346-nucleotide unclassified non-coding RNA is filed under the name soil metagenome. RNAcentral's name for it is "partial contains 5.8S ribosomal RNA, internal transcribed spacer 2, and large subunit ribosomal RNA". The stretch from base 1 to 121 matches the Rfam family "5.8S ribosomal RNA", at positions 35 to 154 of the family's 154-position model. The record is from RNAcentral.